RNAcentral lists this long non-coding RNA (966 nucleotides) under Anas platyrhynchos platyrhynchos (common mallard). RNAcentral describes it as "lncRNA (ENSAPLG00000023167.1)". Lineage: Eukaryota; Metazoa; Chordata; Aves; Anseriformes; Anatidae. The record is from RNAcentral.
CACCGCUCGGUGCCGGGGAUUUUCUCCCGGGCUGAGCCACCCGCUCUUGUUUUGAUCCAGCGGCCGGCCAGAUAUGUGGAAGCAGCAUCACUUCCAUUUCCUGCUGCUCCCAGGCCAGGCUCCCAGGGGCGUGCAGCGCUGCGCUGCUCCGCGGGGGCACCGCUCGCUGUCAGCCGGGCGGCAUUUAAACAGCCGGGCACGGCGAGAUGAGACGGGGCUGACGCUUUUUUCCUGCCUUUUGCUUUUUUUUUCCCCCCUUAAUUUCUUUAUUUAUAUAUUUUUCAUUUUCAUUUUUUCAUUUUUCUCAUUUUUCUUUUUUCCACUUUAUUUUUUUUCCUCUUUUCCCCUUUCCCUUUUCAUUCCCCCCUUCCUCCUUUUUCCCAUUUCCGUUUUUCCUUUUCCAUCUUUUCCCUCCAUCCUUUUAUUUUUUCAUUUUUUUCUUUUUCCUUUAUUUUAUUAUUAUUUUUUUUUUUGCAUUUUCUCCCAAUUUUCCCCCCACCCCCCCCCCCUCCCCUGCACAAGGCCAUCCAUCCCCCGUCCCCCACCACCGUGGGGAAGGAGGGGGAUGCCCGCAGCCCGGCCCCAUUCCGCAACGCCCCCUCCCUUUCUCCUUCCUCCUCCUCCUGCCGCAGCCGCCGCCCGUCCUCUCUCUCUCUCCCCCCUUUUCCCCCCCAUCCCCUACCUGUAGGAGCGCUCCCCCCGCACCGUGUGCUUCCUGAAGGGGAUGAUGGUGCCGUUGUCCUGGAUGAUGUCGUUGUUGUUCUCGCCAUUUGGGGACAGGGCUUGGGUCGGUCCGGGCAUUGGCGCUCGCUCCCCCGCGGCUCCGCGCCUCCUCCCCGCCCCAGCGCUGCGGCUCUGCCUGCGGAAGGUGCUGGCGGCCCCCGCCUGCCGCCCGCCCGCCCGCCCGGACCCCGCCCCGCCGCCCCGCGUCACCGCGCCACGUGACCGCCCGCCGCCAUGGCAACC